AGUGAACGCUGGCGGUAGGCCUAACACAUGCAAGUCGAACGGCAGCACAGUAAGAGCUUGCUCUUACGGGUGGCGAGUGGCGGACGGGUGAGGAAUACAUCGGAAUCUACUUUUUCGUGGGGGAUAACGUAGGGAAACUUACGCUAAUACCGCAUACGACCUACGGGUGAAAGCAGGGGAUCUUCGGACCUUGCGCGAUUGAAUGAGCCGAUGUCGGAUUAGCUAGUUGGCGGGGUAAAGGCCCACCAAGGCGACGAUCCGUAGCUGGUCUGAGAGGAUGAUCAGCCCAAAUGGAACUGAGACAAGGUCCCGACUCCUAAGGGAGGCAGCAGUGGGGAAUAUUGGACCAUGGGCGCAAGCCUGAUCCCGCCCUACCGCGUGGGUGAAGAAGGCCUUCGGGUUGUAAAGCCCUUUUGUUGGGAAAGAAAAGCCGCCGGUUAAUACCCCGCUGUUCUGACGGUAACCAAAGAAUAAGCAACGGCUAACCUCGUG
This 492-nucleotide ribosomal RNA is filed under the name uncultured bacterium. Its description in RNAcentral is "partial 16S ribosomal RNA". It matches the Rfam family "Bacterial small subunit ribosomal RNA", at positions 29 to 507 of the family's 1533-position model. The record is from RNAcentral.